GUACAAGAGGAAAGCACAGAACAGCUGCAUGGAACUCCAGCCCAUCCAUUAAAAACCACCCCAGUCCUGGCAUCAGGGAUUUGUUGAGCUGAAGUCUCAAGAUUCAGCAGUCCCUCCAUGUACAGAAAAAUGAAGUAAAAAAAGAAACACCCUAGCAGCAAUUUAAUCUGUUCACUUUUAAGAAAAAACACAAAUUUCAAAGAAGCAACCCAAGCAGGCUACAUAAGGCACGUAUCAGAUGGAUUGGAAUAUUUCAGUCCAGCACAUCAGGAAAUCAUGAGUGAGAAGUGUUUUUUGGAAACAGGGGACGCUGAGCCACAAGGGCCACCGAAGAUUGAUUUCUGGUCAAGACAAG
Long non-coding RNA from Passer domesticus (house sparrow), 355 nucleotides. RefSeq lists it as uncharacterized. The record is from RefSeq and is a predicted model, not a curated record. Lineage: Eukaryota; Metazoa; Chordata; Aves; Passeriformes; Passeridae. The transcript has 3 exons.